UCCGUCAUGGUGUAGUGGCUAGCAUUUCAGACUCUCAAAAAGGAACUCUGAGAACCCGGGUUCAAUUCCCGGUGACGGAA
This is a non-coding RNA of Peziza echinospora, 80 nucleotides long. The record is from the annotation of a GenBank genome assembly. Lineage: Eukaryota; Fungi; Ascomycota; Pezizomycetes; Pezizales; Pezizaceae.